Molecule: ribosomal RNA, 1239 nt
Filed under: Triticum aestivum (bread wheat)
Lineage: Eukaryota; Viridiplantae; Streptophyta; Magnoliopsida; Poales; Poaceae
Description: partial small subunit ribosomal RNA
Source: RNAcentral
AUGCUAAGGCCCAAAUCGGCUGGGGGUAUCGGAUUCAAGGACUUCAGACUCUUCAACCAAGCAAUGUUAGCUCGGCAAGCAUGGCGUAUUUUGGUCAACCCGGAAUGUCUUUGUACGCGCGUCUUGAAGGCAAGGUAUUUCCCUAAUGGACGAUUAGAAGAUACUGUUUUCACUAGCAACGCGUCGCAAACUUGGCAGGCCAUUGUGCAUGGGUUGGAAUUGCUGAAGAAAUGCUUAGUCUGGCGCAUCGGUAACGGGCAGUCGGUCCGAAUUUGGCGGGACUCCUGGAUACCACACCCUGUUGGUCGGCCACCAAUUACCCAACAGGGAAGGUGCUGUCUCCGCCGAGUCUCAGAGCUACUAGACGAGCAUGGUGCAUGGCGCGGAACCCUACUUCAAUAGUACUUUUUGCCCAUUGAUGUUCAAGAGAUACUAAAGAUUAAAGCGUCCCCUCGGCUGGGGGCAGAUUUCCUUGCAUGGGGUGCAGAACGUACUGGUAUCUUCACCGUACGUAGUGCGUACCGGCUGGCGCUUGAGGACAAGCUUUGUCCCUCUUCAGUCGCAGCGAGCAGGGCACCGGACAGGCGACGUGCCAUCUGGGCAUUAUUAUGGAGGUGCCCUGCUCCUCCUAAGGUGCGUGUGUUUGCAUGGCGUUUGGCUACUAACUCCCUUGCCACAUGGUCUAAUAAAUUUAGUCGACACAUGGAGGUUACUGAUAUAUGCCCAUUAUGUGUGCCACGAAUAGUCCACAAAUGGAGUCCCCCACCCGCCAACUGGACGAAGCUGAAUGUCGAUGGCUCCUUUUCCCAUGAUGACGGGAGGGCCGGGACGGGAAUGGUGCUCCGUGACCAGGAAGGGGCCAUUAUUUUCUCUGUGUGUCGCUCGCUAUGGUCUUGCCCGGACCCUCUACAUGCUGAGCUGGCUGGGUGCAUGGAGGGCAUAGCUUUGGCCCUCCAAUGGACGGAGUUGCCGUCUAUCGCCGAGUGCGAUAGUCUGCAGGCAAUCCAACUGAUAAAUGCCUCAGGACAAGACCACUCGCAGUAUGCCAUGGUGGUCUCCGAAGUGAAGCAUCUUAUGAGUGAAAGGGAGUGUCAUGUUAUUCAUAUUUCUCGAGAGCAGAAUAAUGUAAGCCAUGCGUUGGCGAACUUUGGAAGGACGGAGGACCGUACCGUGGUCUGGCUCCGCUCCGGCCCGGACAAUAUCCCUAGCUUGUGUAGGGAGGACCUUCUUGGCUCUUGA